Molecule: long non-coding RNA, 2923 nt
Filed under: Sus scrofa (pig)
Lineage: Eukaryota; Metazoa; Chordata; Mammalia; Artiodactyla; Suidae
Description: lncRNA (ENSSSCG00025063234.1, ENSSSCG00175003199.1)
Source: RNAcentral
UGCUGAGAUCCUCAGUGGCUACCGUCCCUCCCCGGCUGCUCGGGGUUGUAAGGAUUCGGCCUACACGGGGCCCAGCCCGAGCCGUGGCAGGGACAUGGCAGCCGCAGGCUAGACUCGGCCUCCCUGGGCACAAAUCUCAGCCUCACCACUAACUAGGGGGGUAAGAGGCUGAAAUGCACCCCCUCAAAAGUCAUGUUGAAGCUCUAACCCCUAGGCCCUCAGAACGAGGCUGGGUUCGCAGACGGGGCCUUGCGAGAGGUGACAAGCAGAAACGAGGAGGUGAGCACAGGCCCUGUGCCAGUCUGGCUGGUGUCCUGAUGACACGAGACCUGCAGGGGUGCGUGUGCCCAGAGGAAAGGCUAGGGGACCGGGGAGCAGGAGGGCCACCACCUGCAGGCCAAGGAGGCCCCCGAUCCAAAGAGAGGAAACCAGUCCUGCUGACGCCUGGCCUGUAGAGGUCCAGCCUCCAGAAGCAGGAGAAAGGAGCUGUCCACUGUUAAGCCACCCGGUCUGUGCUACUGUCACGACAAGCCUAGCAAGCUAAGACACCACAGACACUCAGACUGCAAACUAGGAGCGAUAACAGCACUCAUUUCAUGAGCGAUAAAGACUGGUGGGGGGGCCGAAGGUCGGUGCCCCCCCAACCCCCAGGGUGGGUGCAGGAACGACAGGAAGAGAGGCAUUUCUGACCUGGAAUUUCAGCCGGUCAAGGUGUGCAGGCCUGCAGUCUUGUGGCUUUUUCUGGGCCACAAAUGACGAGACUCCGUCUGAUGACGAAGACCAAAUUGGGGGGGGGGGGGGGGGAGAACCAAGCAGGAAGCACUCUGCUUGUGUUCCUGGAUCUGAGCCUGCCUUAAACCCAGCUCCUCCUCCAAAUCUCCAGCUACCCUCUGAGCUAGUAAUUCCCUUUGCGGCUUAAGCUGGUUCGAGUUGUGGUUGUGGCACGUGCCACCCACGGAGUCAUGACAAACCCACUGGCUCUCACGGUGAAGCCCUACUGACCACUUUGCUGUCUGUGCGAGACCCGCGGUCUUGCGUAACCUGCUCAGGCAGCUGCCCCAGGGACUCGCCGGGAGCCUAGGGAGCCGGGAGGAAGGGGCCAGAGCGUGCCUGGAUCAGCACGACGGGUGCUUGCAGGGCCUGGACCCAAGGCCUGCUCGCUCCCGCAGCUCUCUUGUGGGUCAAGACUGGACUGCCACACCGAGGAACUGUGACAGCCUGAUACACAGGGUCUUGUCCACCUGGAUCAGGAGAAAGUGAACCAGGCAAUUUGUCCUUCUGGCCAAAUCACGGCUCUAUUUAACUUUGAAAGCUGUACCUACAAGACGCCAGCCUUUCUCAGACGCGGCGGUAACAGGAGCUGGAGGCCCCCCAGCGCUCGUGUCCCAGGGGAUCCGCUGUUCUGAAGCGAGGGAGGAAGCCGCAGAAUCACUCACAUUUCCGGGGGUUGAUUUACGCAGAACUCCCACCGGGGGCCGCCUGGAAGGGAGCUGAGAUCAGCGUGUGCCCAAGCACCCGCCGUGUCUUCCAAGGAAGCCAGGCUGACAAGAGUGGCUCCCACUUCUGCACUAAGCCCUUGAGGCAUCUCACCCCAUCUCUGGGGAACACGGUCUUCUUCGUUUUACAGAUAAGGAAACUGAGCCCUUGAUGAGGAAUUCAUUCAGGGUGUCACCCGUAUGUGGCAGAACCCGACCUUAAGCGCCACACAUCACGUCUAGAGCCCUCGCCACCACCCCUGGUUCUGCCUCUAAGAUCUUGUGUGAUUUCAGGCAAGACUUCUUCCCCCCUCUGGGCUGCAGUUUCCUCAUCUAACAGGUGAAGCUUCCAGACUGGCUCAUCUCUCUGGAUUCUCCUGGCUCUGAAGUUUUUCUAAUUCCAGGUUUAAAAAAUUCGCUUUGGGAGUUCCCGUCGUGGCGCAGUGGUUAACGAAUCCGACUAGGAACCAUGAGGUCGCGGGUUCAGUCCCUGCCCUUGCUCAGUGGGUUAACGAUCCGGCAUGCUUCACCCACUGAGCGAGGCCAGGGAUCGAACACCCAUCCUCACAGACACGAUGUGCGUUUCCUAACCCGCUGAGCCAGAGUGGGAACUCAUGUAAUAACUCUCGAUUGAACUAUUGUGUACGUAUCUGUCUCCUCUCCUGGAUGCUGAAUUCCUUGAGGCUGGAGAUCAUUCCGACUCACCAUGCGGUCCCCAGCGGGAAUGGGCACAGGGUGCAACCAACACGCUCCUACGAGAACUGACGAAAAGUGGGUGUCGUUCUUACGGGGACGACAGACUUAAUCAAAGGGGAAGUGCAGGAAAAAUACGGUUAUUCCUUUCUCCAGACCCCCAAACGGCCGCCCCAAUCAUCGCGUUCGGGUGCCCAACGGCAACCCAGCCGCGGUAACUGUAGUCAACAGUGCCACCUUGUGGACGUUGUGGGUGGUGAUUAAACCAGAGCACCUGGGCGCCUUCACCGCAACUUCCUGCUGUCAACCUUGGAACCGAGCGAAGACUGCGUUCCACGGUUUUACGUCUCUCCCGGACCACAGCGCAGUUGAUUCCAUUCCAUCAGUUACUCCGUAGUACAUACGCAUUUCCCUUAGCUCCUCUGAUUUUAUGUUCCGACUCUCUGAGAAACCUCCAAAGACUUUCCAAGCUUCUGAAAGUCCUAAAAACCGACCGAAACCUCCAUCUGCUCUUGCAGUACUUACGCACCAUUUAUCUUAAAACGCUAUUUCAAAGGGAAUAUUAGGUCUUUUAAAGCACUAAUGGGCCGGCCUCAGAACUUGACUACAAUUUAUGGCCUUGUUUCCAAGUGCUUCAGAAUUCAAACCGUGAACUUUUGGAAGUGGAUCCGCUUGUAAAUUGUGGGUUGUCUGCUUUAGAAUUUAAACUGACCUUUCCAAAUUGGAAAAGUGGGCAGGAACAAAGAGGAACUUGG